AUUUAUUCUGUUAAAAAUCCAUCACUACAUUGGGUGCUGUAAAUCUGUCAUGGGCCAUGGCCAUCAGGCAACAAAAGAGGAAGAAACCUGUUUGCAUGGGCAAAAAUCUAAAGGUCAAAAAUGUCAGAAGACAAUGAGAAAGGCAACUGAUGGCGUGUGGAAUGACGAUGACAACAAUUAUUUUUUUUUCUUUUUUUAAUUGGAGAAUUACAAAGAGGGUAUUGUUGGGUUUGACUACUUAGUACUCAUCUCCUGUGGCCUUCUCAUCCUCUUUCUUUCUCCAUAUUUUAGUACUUCUACUAUUCAAAUCAUGUUCCAACGCUGCUUUUACCUUUCCUCUCCUCAUUUUGUAUUAAUUUGACUUUCUUUGGGGUUUUCUUGUUUCACCCAAUUUAAGCCUGAAUCACAAGAUUUGAUUUUUCACCAUUUGAGUUCAUGUGUAAUAGUGUAAAUCCAAGCUUUAUUUCAAGUUAGUUCAAGAUUAUCAAUUUUGCAGGGAUCAUUGCCACAGGUUGGUUUUGUAUCAUUUUCUUUGUUUACGUUUUUGUGGGUUGAGUUGAAUUCUGAUUUAAUAUUUGGGUUGAGUUGAAUUCUGUUAUAAUAAUGAAAUUUUGGGAAAUUCAGUUUGACGAAAGAAAAAAUUCAUUCAAUUUAGGGAAAGUACGGUGC
RNAcentral lists this long non-coding RNA (669 nucleotides) under Olea europaea subsp. europaea. The record is from RNAcentral. Lineage: Eukaryota; Viridiplantae; Streptophyta; Magnoliopsida; Lamiales; Oleaceae.